This 468-nucleotide ribosomal RNA is filed under the name uncultured bacterium. RNAcentral's name for it is "partial 16S ribosomal RNA". It matches the Rfam family "Bacterial small subunit ribosomal RNA", at positions 28 to 507 of the family's 1533-position model. The record is from RNAcentral.
GACGAACGCUGGCGGCGUGCUUAACACAUGCAAGUCGAACGGAAAGGCCCUGCUUUUGUGGGGUGCUCGAGUGGCGAACGGGUGAGUAACACGUGAGUAACCUGCCCUUGACUUUGGGAUAACUUCAGGAAACUGGGGCUAAUACCGGAUAGGAGCUCCUGCUGCAUGGUGGGGGUUGGAAAGUUUCGGCGGUUGGGGAUGGACUCGCGGCUUAUCAGCUUGUUGGUGGGGUAGUGGCUUACCAAGGCUUUGACGGGUAGCCGGCCUGAGAGGGUGACCGGCCACAAUGGGACUGCGAUACGGCCCAGACUCCUACGUGAGGCAGCAGUGGGGAAUAUUGCACAAUGGGCGGACGCCUGAUGCAGCAACGCCGCGUGCGGGAUGACGGCCUUCGGGUUGUGAACCGCUUUCGCCUGUGACGAAGCGUGAGUGACGGUAAUGGGUAAAGAAGCACCGGCUAACUACGUG